This 484-nucleotide ribosomal RNA is filed under the name uncultured bacterium. RNAcentral's name for it is "partial 16S ribosomal RNA". It matches the Rfam family "Bacterial small subunit ribosomal RNA", at positions 38 to 507 of the family's 1533-position model. The record is from RNAcentral.
GGGGGGGGGGGGGGGGGGGGCGGGGGGGGGGGGGGGGGGGGGGUGGAGGGAGCUUGCGCCUGGAUUCGGCGGCGGGCGGGGGAGGAAGGCCUAGGAAUCUGCCUGGUAGUGGGGGAUAACGUCCGGAAACGGGCGCUAAUACCGCAUACGUCCUGAGGGAGAAAGUGGGGGAUCUUCGGACCUCACGCUAUCAGCUGAGCCUAGGUCGGAUUAGCUAGUUGGUGGGGUAAAGGCCUCCCAAGGCGACGAUCCGUAACUGGUCUGAGAGGAUGAUCAGUCACACUGGAACUGAGACACGGUCCAGACUCCUACGGGAGGCAGCAGUGGGGAAUAUUGGACAAUGGGCGAAAGCCUGAUCCAGCCAUGCCGCGUGUGUGAAGAAGGUCUUCGGAUUGUAAAGCACUUUAAGUUGGGAGGAAGGGCAGUAAGUUAAUACCUUGCUGUUUUGACGUUACCAACAGAAUAAGCACCGGCUAACUUCGUG